Molecule: ribosomal RNA, 814 nt
Filed under: Chrysosporium queenslandicum
Lineage: Eukaryota; Fungi; Ascomycota; Eurotiomycetes; Onygenales; Onygenaceae
Description: eukaryotic LSU rRNA
Rfam family: Eukaryotic large subunit ribosomal RNA
Source: RNAcentral
AACGGCGAGUGAAGCGGCAAAAAGCUCAAAAUUUGAAAUCUGGCUCCGUUAGGUGCCCGAGUUGUAAUUUGUAGAGGAUACUUCGGGUGUGGACGCGGCAUAAGUCCCUUGGAACAGGGCGUCAUAGAGGGUGAGAAUCCCGUCUUGAGUCGAUUGUCCAUGCCCAUGCGAAGUUCCUUCGACGAGUCGAGUUGUUUGGGAAUGCAGCUCUAAGUGGGUGGUAAAUUUCAUCUAAAGCUAAAUAUUGGCCGGAGACCGAUAGCGAACAAGUAGAGUGAUCGAAAGGUUAAAAGCACCUUGAAAAGGGAGUUAAAUAGCACGUGAAAUUGUUGAAAGGGAAGCGCUUGCAACCAGACUCGGUCACAGGGGCUCAGCGGGCAUGCGUGCCCGUGUACUCCCCUGUGUUCGGGCCAGCAUCAGUUCUGGCGGUUGGUUAAAGGCCCUUGGAAUGUAUCGUCCUCCGGGACGUCUUAUAGCCAAGGGUGUAAUGCGGCCAGCCGGGACUGAGGAACGCGCUUCGGCACGGAUGCUGGCGUAAUGGUUGUAAGCGACCCGUCUUGAAACACGGACCAAGGAGUCUAACAUCCACGCGAGUGUUCGGGUGUCAAACCCGUGCGCGCAGUGAAAGCGAACGGAGGUGGGAGCCCCUUUAGGGUGCACCAUCGACCGAUCCUGAAGUCUUCGGAUGGAUUUGAGUAAGAGCGUGGCUGUUGGGACCCGAAAGAUGGUGAACUAUGCCUGAAUAGGGUGAAGCCAGAGGAAACUCUGGUGGAGGCUCGCAGCGGUUCUGACGUGCAAAUCGAUCGUCAAAUUU